UGGGGAAUUUUGGACAAUGGGCGAAAGCCUGAUCCAGCAAUGCCGCGUGUGUGAAGAAGGCCUUCGGGUUGUAAAGCACUUUUGUCCGGAAAGAAAUCCUUGGCUCUAAUACAGUCGGGGGGUGACGGUACCGGAAGAAUAAGCACCGGCUAACUACGUGCCAGCAGCCGCGGUAAUACGUAGGGUGCAAGCGUUAAUCGGAAUUACUGGGCGUAAAGCGUGCGCAGGCGGUUUGCUAAGACCGAUGUGAAAUCCCCGGGCUCAACCUGGGAACUGCAUUGGUGACUGGCAGGCUAGAGUAUGGCAGAGGGGGGUAGAAUUCCACGUGUAGCAGUGAAAUGCGUAGAGAUGUGGAGGAAUACCGAUGGCGAAGGCAGCCCCCUGGGCCAAUACUGACGCUCAUGCACGAAAAGCGUGGGGGAGCAAACAGGAUUAGAUACCCUGGUAGUCCACGCCCUAAACGAUGUCAACUAGUUGUUGGGGAUUCAUUUCCUUAGUAACGUAGCUAACGCGUGAAGUUGACCGCCUGGGGAGUACGGUCGCAGGAUUAAAACUCAAAGGAAUUGACGGGGUCAUAGCUGUUUCCU
RNAcentral lists this ribosomal RNA (587 nucleotides) under uncultured bacterium. Its description in RNAcentral is "partial 16S ribosomal RNA". It matches the Rfam family "Bacterial small subunit ribosomal RNA", at positions 355 to 1375 of the family's 1533-position model. The record is from RNAcentral.